Molecule: ribosomal RNA, 946 nt
Filed under: Triticum aestivum (bread wheat)
Lineage: Eukaryota; Viridiplantae; Streptophyta; Magnoliopsida; Poales; Poaceae
Description: partial small subunit ribosomal RNA
Source: RNAcentral
GAGGGGCGGUGGCGUCGGGCGGGGACGCGGGCAGGGAGGUGGCAAGGUCCGGCGCCGCGGCGGGGGAGGGGCGCCGGGAGGGCCGGUGGCGCCGGGAGGGCCGGUGGCGCCGCACGGGGCGCCGGGAGGGGCGGUGGCGUCGGGCGGGGAGGUGGCUCGGUCCGGUGCCGCAGCGGGGGAAGGGCGCCGUAGCCAUAGCCAGCCCGCGCAGAGCCAGGUCUACGUAUGUAUCCGACCGCCUCCCGUAGCAAAAGGAGGCCUAAGGGAAGGGUGGCCCGACGAAGUAGUGGUCUAGGCAGCAGGUGACUGGGGUAGGAGAUAUGUAUGCCAGACUACUCAACCAAAACGAACACAACACUCCUCCGUACAACACCAAUUGUAGCUCAGUCCCACGGAUGGAAACAUAAACUUAGACACUCUAGACCUGGCAGUUGGCGGUACUGGUACUAGUUGCGCAGGAGCCGGAGGGUCUGCUCCUACCUUACUCGUCCCGUUCUCUUCUCCUCCCUCGUCCGGCUGCGGGCUGCCGCUGGACUGGUAGGAGGACCUAGAGUGACCGUUGGGGGACCGGACCUCCGGCGGGCGGGCGGGCGGCAGUCACGCCCCGGACGCCGUGGUGAAGGAGCACGAGGAGGAAUUGUAGGUCCUGGUCCUGCUGGUGGCCCUGGAGGUACUGCUACUGCUUCGGGGCGUGUACCAGCUCGAGCUACCUUGUUAUCACGGAGCCACACCACGUCGGCUCAACCCGGUUGCUGAUGCAAUACCAGGAGCAAUACCAGCUCAAAAACAAAACUGGAACACUUUGAACGAUGGAUACCUACUUUGACACAUUAUAACUACUUUGAUACAUAUACAUGCCUACUUUGAACGAUGAUAACCAUUGUACACAACCUAUGUAUACACAAGUACUGAUAACCAUUAUACACAACUUAUACGAUAUAACCAG